CAAUAGCGUAUAUUAAAGUUGUUGCGGUAAAAAAGCUCGUAGUUGGAUUUCUACCGAAGAUAGCCGGUCGGGUCUUCGACCUUGUAUCUGGUUUUGUCUUUGGUAUCCUCAUAGGGAACGUUUCUGCGCUUUAUUGCGUGGUGCGGUAUCUAUGACUUUUACUUUGAGGAAAUUAGAGUGUUCACGGCAGGCAAACGCCUUGAAUAUAUUAGCAUGGAAUAAUAACAUAGGAUCUUCGUCCUAUUUUGUUGGUUUCUAGGGCUAAGAUAAUGAUUAAUAGGGAUAAUUGGGGGCAUCUGUAUCAACGCGUCAGAGGUGGAACUCUUGGAUUGCGUUGCGACAAACUACUGCGAAAGCAUUUGCCAAGGAUGUUUUCAUUGA
RNAcentral lists this ribosomal RNA (381 nucleotides) under uncultured eukaryote. RNAcentral's name for it is "partial 18S ribosomal RNA". It matches the Rfam family "Eukaryotic small subunit ribosomal RNA", at positions 592 to 976 of the family's 1831-position model. The record is from RNAcentral.